UAGAAUUGAGCUCCUAUACUUUUAAAAAUACCAAGUCAUUGGUGCUUGUAAGUUUUUGGCUCCUGGAUUAAGAGAUGUGCGGUUAGAAUGAUGUGGGCCCCUAGGGUUGAGUGGCCCUAGGGUUGAGUGGGUGGUUUGUUGAAUAGUAUAAUCUAACGGCUAAAAAUGAUCAAAGGUAUAGAUCUAACGGUAAAAAAUUUAUAAGCACCAAGUGCUUGGUGCUUGUACAAGCACCAUAGCCUCUCUCUCUCUCUCUCUCUCUCUCUCUCUCUCUAUAUAUAUAUAUAUAUAUAUAUAUAUAGUGAGUCUACUAUGCUAUCGGAAGCACGGAGCCUUCCAUGCUUCCAGCUCGUUUUCGAUGUUGCGACUUUCGAAUCGUCGAUCNUAUAUAUAUAUAUAUAGUGAGGCUACUAUGCUAUCGGAAGCACGGAGCCUUCCGUACUUCCAACUCGUUUUUGAUGUUGCGACUUUCGAAUCGUCGAUCGGUUCCGUUAAACUUAAUCGUCGAUCGGCUCCGUAAAAAAAUUAUAACUUUUUCAAUCCUUUUUUUGAUUUAUCUUAUC
This 563-nucleotide long non-coding RNA is filed under the name Ananas comosus (pineapple). RNAcentral describes it as "long non-coding RNA (ACOM_LNC006279)". Lineage: Eukaryota; Viridiplantae; Streptophyta; Magnoliopsida; Poales; Bromeliaceae. The record is from RNAcentral.